ACAGCUCUUCCCCAGAGCCGCUCGCCUCCAUAAUAGCCCUGCCACCUCUCAUUAGCAGUUUCCCCAUGGUAAUCCAAAGAGACAUCACCAUUCCGGUGCAGCCCAGCGUGGGUCAUUUCCAUGAAACAGCAGAAUUCAUUACGAAUGAGCACCAGAGAAAUCUGCGGCAGGCAGAAGAUAGAGAAGUAAAUGGGGAGAGACUUUAGAGCACACCUCAUGCAUCUAUAAUACAAUUACUUGCCAAAGGGAAUGACAGCUUUGAUGUGAUUUUUUUUUUUUAUUUUUUUUUUUCUACAGUAAGUCCCGGAAUCUAAGCACAGAACAGCACCUUCCAUAGGCUCUGAAAUGAAGAUGAAAGGGAAUUGCAGCUCAUCGACUGAUUUGCAAAGAGCUUCACAUGCUCCCAGGCAGGAUCGUGUAGCAGCUCUGAAAUCAAUGAGGCAUUUGCCAUUUCCCUCUCACCUUGCCCACCUGUGGAUUGGCACAGGCCCAUGGCUCAGGAUUUAUGCCUGUGGAUUUCUUCUGCUUGAACAUGAAAGCAAAUGCCACUUUGGCUCAUCUUCACUCGAAGAAGGAGAGGGGGCAGGGAAACCUCCGAUGUCAUAG
Molecule: long non-coding RNA, 606 nt
Filed under: Anas platyrhynchos platyrhynchos (common mallard)
Lineage: Eukaryota; Metazoa; Chordata; Aves; Anseriformes; Anatidae
Description: lncRNA (ENSAPLG00000023219.1)
Source: RNAcentral